Molecule: ribosomal RNA, 485 nt
Filed under: uncultured bacterium
Lineage: Bacteria
Description: partial 16S ribosomal RNA
Rfam family: Bacterial small subunit ribosomal RNA
Source: RNAcentral
GAUGAACGCUAGCGGCAGGCUUAAUACAUGCAAGUCGAGGGGCAGCGCAGUGUAGCCAUCCACGGGCGGCGACCGGCAAACGGGUGCGGAACACGUACGCAACCUACCCAUAACUGAUGAAUAGCCCUCCGAAAGGAGGCUUAAUACAUCGUAACUUACUGAAGCGGCAUCGCUUUAUUAAUAUAGCUCCGGCGGUUUUGGAUGGGCGUGCGCCUGAUUAGGUAGUUGGCGGGGUAACGGCCCACCAAGCCUGCGAUCAGUAACUGGUGUGAGAGCACGACCAGUCACACGGGCACUGGGACACGGGCCCGACUCCAACGGGAGGCAGCAGUAAGGAAUAUUGGUCAAUGGACGCAAGUCUGAACCAGCCAUGCCGCGUGAAGGAUGAAGGUGCUCUGGAGUGUAAACUUCGUGUGAAUGGGACGAAACCUCUUUAUCUUGAGAGACUGACGGUACCAUUAGAAUAAGCACCGGCUAACUCCGUG